ACAGCGGCUCAACAUUCAAACUUCCAUCACGGCUGCAGCUUCUGAGAGGAGAGCAUCUUCUAGGCCUCAAGGAUGCUGUAGUUACACAAUUCCCAAGACACAGAAUCAUUGGGACAGGAAAGGAAUUCAUUCUACUGUGUCCCCAGAAUAUGAAUCAUGUUGCAAUGUACUGGUAUCGACAGAACCCAGGACUUGGACUGAAGCUAGUCUAUUAUUCACCUGGCACUGGGAGCAUUGAAAAAGGAGAUGUCUCUGAGAGGUAUCAUGUUUCUUGAAAUACUAUAGCAUCUUUUCUCCUGACCCUGAAGUCUGCUAGCACCAACCAGACAUGUGUGUAUCUCUGCGCCAGCAGUUCAUCCACAGCACUGCAUAGCUGCCACAUCCUCUCCACAUAAAAAAAGGUGCAUACCAAAGAGGAAAAGCCUGCCCUCAAAAUUCCUCACCGCAAAUAAGAGAAGUUACCUCACAGGUAUUGACAAAAAGAGCCAAACUCUGUAAAAUAUUUGAAGAGAUUUAUUCUGAGCCAAACAUGAGUGAGCAUGGCCAGAGGCAGAGGCUCAAGGGCCUAAGAACGUGUGUCCAAGGUGGUCAGCCUACAGCUUGGUUUUAUACCUUUUUGGAGACAUCAGACAUCAAUCAAUACAUGUAAGCUGUACAUUGUUUCAAUUUGGAAAGGUGGGACAACUCAAAGAGGGGGCUUCCGGGUCAUAGGUGGAUUCAAAGAUUUUUCAGACUGGCAGUUGGUUGAAAGAGUUAAGUUAUCGUCUAAAGAUUUGAAAUCAAUAUAAAGAAGUAUCUGGGUUGUGGGGACCAAGGUUCUUAUUAUGCAGAUGAAGCCUCCAGGGAGCAGGCUUCAGAGAGAAUAGAUUGUAUUUCUUAAUCAAACUUUUAAAAGGUGCCAGACUCAUAAUUCUCUUCUGGAUCAGGGGAAAAACCUGAAAAGGAAAGAGAAUUAUCUACAGAAUGUAGAUUUCCCUCAUGAUAGACAGCUUUGUAGGGCCGUUUAAAAAUAUGUCGGAAAAUACAUUUUGGGGUAAAAUAUUGAUUUUUUUCAGGGCCUGCUAGGAGUCAUGUUGGUGUCUUAUUGCUACAAAGGGUCUGUUUUGUCACUCAUAAGGUUUCCAUUGUAAUGUUAAUGCUGGUUGGUUGUGCCUGAAUUCUAAAGUGAAGAGGGUAUAAUGAGGCAUGUCUGACCCCACUUCCCACUAAGAACUGAACUGGUUUUUCAUGUUAACUUUGGAAUGCUCUUGGCCAAGAGAAGGGGUCCACACAGUUGGUUGUGGGGCUUAGGAUUUUAUUUUUGGUUCACACAAAAGUAUACCAAUGUCCUCCCCUAGGUUUGAUAUGCCCUGCUUCCCUCUUUCCAUUUUUGUCCUUCUAGGACACCUUUUUGGUUGUUAUUAAACCCUUCAUUUCUUGUCAAUAUCCCACUAGACUAUAGGGCAUCAACACAAUAUGAACACUUGUCUUGGUUUAUUUGUGCUACUAUAGCAAAAUAACUGAGAUUGGAUAAUUUAUAAACAUGAACUUGUCACAGUUCUGUAGGCUCAGAAGCCCAGAACAAAGCACCUCAGGUUCAAUUUCUGGUGAGGGCCUUGGUCUCUGCUUCCAAGAUGGCACCUUGAGUGCUAUGUCAUCACAUGAGAAAAGUGCCUAAGCUGGUUCCCUACCCUUUUAUGAGUCACUAAUCCAUUCAUGAGAGCAGAACCCUCAUGACCUAAUCACUUCCCACCUCUUAAUACUGCCACAAUGGGGAUUACAUUUCAAAAUGAAUUUUAGAAGAAACACAUUCAAACCACAGCACAUUUCUAGACAAACUUUCAGACACAGAUGUAGAGAAAUUUUAAUGAAAUUGAAUUUUAACCAAGUGAAGACAACCCACAGAUUUGCAAAUACCCUUCUAAGAUUCUUCAAAGAUAUCUCAAUGGUUAAUCACGUUGUUUAGGAAAAUGAGAACAGUGACAGCAAGACCUUCUCAGUGGUACAAUGGCCUCAGCAGCAGUAAAAGAGGGUAGUAAACAUUAUGCAGACUUUGUGUGGGCUCUGGAUCACCCACAGAGAAGAAAGUUAUUUUGUAUGUAUGUGUGUAACUGUAUGUUUAAGAGAAAUGAACUGUUUAUUUACAGGGAUUAUUGAGGAGCAGAACCUCACUUGGGUAGAUGCAGGUGUAACUUUUAAGAUCAAUAUCCAUGGCUUUGAAUAGAUAGGCUAGAGAUACAGCAGAUUUACUUAGUUCCCCAAAGAUGCAUGUUGGGUGAUACCCACCUAUAUUAGUUUUCCAAUUACUGCAAAUUCAGUAGGUUAAAGUAACAAUUGUCUUAUCUCACAGUUCUGUAUGUCUGAAGUCCAGGAAAGUAUGGCUGGAUUUUUCUCAGGGUCUUAUAAGGUGGAAAUCAAGGGGUCAGCUGUCUGCAUUUUCAUCAGGAGAUUGGCUACUCCUCCUAGAUUAUUCCUAGUACUGGUAGAAUUUGGUUCCUUGUGACAGCAGGUCUAGGGUCUCCAUUUUUUAUUGGCUGUCAGCUCCUUGCAGUUUCUUUCUGGUCCCCUUGAUCUUCAAAUGCACAUCAAAUCUGUCUCAUGUUUAAAAUCCUGUGAUACCCACUUCUGCUUCAAGACAGAAAACUCUGCAUUUAAAGGGCUCUGGUGAUUAGGUUAGGCCAACCUGAAUAGUAUUUAUUUUGUCAAAUAAUGUAACAUAAUCGCUGGAGUGACAUAUCAUAUUUUUAGGUUCCACUCAUGCUGAAAGUGAAGGACAUUAUACAUGGGCAUGAGUCACUGGAGGUCAUUCUUGGAAUUCUGCCUACCAUACCAAUGGAGAUCAAAUGCCAGGAAAGUCAGGAAUAGAAAUUCAGAGAGCAUACAAUCAAAUAUAUUAAAUUAGAAUUCAAAACUAUUCAAGAGAUGGUUCAGAGUUUUGGCCAAGCAGUGGAUCAAAUUUUCUUACUACUGCUUAAUCAAGGAUACAGUACAGAAGUAAAAUGAAUUGAUCUUUAUUAAAAUGGAGCAAAGACCAGGUCUAGGAAGGAAAGGCAAGAAGGUGGAAUAGAUUUGCUCUUACUGGAAGAACACUGGAGAUUCAAGACAAGAAACAGAAUUGUUUUAGUCCCUGAGUUAACAAAUAAAAGAAAGAUGAGACCAGAACAGUUGUCAAUGAAGGAGCAGUGAAGUAGAAAGGAAGGAUGGAGUGAAUGUGGAGAGCACUUUUCUGAAGAGAAUAAACUUAGUUGUCAGAUGAAAGGAGAUUUAUAAUUAGCUUUGUCCUUACAAAUUUUGAGGUAACUUACCAUGGAAAUACUUUUUCUUAUCAGUUGAUUAAUCUGGGGGGAGGUAGCAUAAUCCUUUGAAAUUCCAGUGCGUAGAAAACUAGGCUCGACCUCAAGAUGAAGCCUCAAAAAAGAAAUGUCUGUUAGAAUCCAGUUAACAGGAGAACACCUACUGCGACUUUAUUAUCAGCAAGUUGGUGAAAACUUCCUGAAGAAGAAAUGUGGGAUGAUACAGAAACUGAUUAAAGUCUCAGAACAGCAAAUAGUUUCUCCUCUUGUGAAUUAAUUCACCUUCCACAAUUAAACAGAGAUAACUCAGGGUACCUCAAAUACUGAUGAGCUUGACAGAAAUGAAUUGCCACCUAAUUCCAUUGAUGGAGAAAGAUAAGACAAUGAGCAAAGAAAAGGGACUUUCAGAGAGAAGAAUUGUUGAGAAGGUAGCAGUCCUUUCUCUUUCCAUGAGGUAGUUGCUAUUCAUUACUCUGUGAUGGGGACUGGGAACACAAGAAUCACCACUUAGGGAUUAAUGAAUUCAAGAUCUGUACCUUCCAUUUUGAUCCAAAUUUGAACUUAAAUUUAUUCAGGACACCAACUGAAUACUUCUACCUAAAGGUAAAACUCAUAUCAUAUUUCCCUCCCAAGCUGCAUUUCCUCUGAGUUCCUGACUUGACGGAGUCAUUUAUUUGUACAAUAUAUGAACGCUGAGAGUUGUGCCACAUUUCUCUCUCUUUUGCCCUGGACAUCCAAUUUUUAUGCAACACUUUCAUUUCUAACUCCUAAAUAUCUUAGUUUACUAUCUCAAUCACUGCAACCACUGACAUGUUUAUGCCCUUUUUACUAGCUUGCCAAAUAAAUAUAAAAGAGCUCAU
Molecule: long non-coding RNA, 4132 nt
Filed under: Homo sapiens (human)
Lineage: Eukaryota; Metazoa; Chordata; Mammalia; Primates; Hominidae
Description: HSALNT0351696
Source: RNAcentral